GGGGAAUAUUGGACAAUGGGCGAAAGCUUGAUCCAGCCUUGCGGCGUUUGUGAAGAAGGUUUUGGGAUUGUAAAGCACUUCAAGUUGGGAGAAAGGGCUGCAAGUUAUUACCUUGUAGUUUUGAUGUUACCUGCAGAAUAAGCACCGCCUAACUUCGUGCCAGCAGCCGCGGUAAUACGAAGGGUGCAAGCGUUAAUCGGAAUUACUGGGCGUAAAGCGCGCGUAGGUGGUUUGGUAAGAUGGAUGUGAAAUCCCCGGGCUCAACCUGGGAACUGCAUCCAUAACUGCCUGACUAGAGUACGGUAGAGGGUGGUGGAAUUUCCUGUGUAGCGGUGAAAUGCGUAGAUAUAGGAAGGAACACCACUGGCGAAGGCGACCACCUGGACUGAUACUGACACUGAGGUGCGAAAGCGUGGGGAGCAAACA
This 426-nucleotide ribosomal RNA is filed under the name uncultured Pseudomonadaceae bacterium. RNAcentral describes it as "bacterial SSU rRNA". It matches the Rfam family "Bacterial small subunit ribosomal RNA", at positions 356 to 774 of the family's 1533-position model. Lineage: Bacteria; Pseudomonadati; Pseudomonadota; Gammaproteobacteria; Pseudomonadales; Pseudomonadaceae. The record is from RNAcentral.